AAAAAGAUAGAGAGAGAAAGUUACCUUAGAGGGGGAGAGGAGUUAGGGAGGAAGAUACGAGUAGUGCUCGUCUGAAAGACUUCUCCCAUAUAUAUAAAAACGGUUUCCUCGUAACUUCCUCGUAACAUUACGACGAAGUUACGAGGAAACCGUUUUUAUAUAUAUGGGAGAAGUCUUUCAGACGAGCAGUGCUCGUAUCUUCCUCCCUAACUCCUCUCCCCCUCUAAGGUAACUUUCUCUCUCUAUCUUUU
RNAcentral lists this microRNA precursor (251 nucleotides) under Brassica napus (rape). Its description in RNAcentral is "pre miRNA MIR2118". Lineage: Eukaryota; Viridiplantae; Streptophyta; Magnoliopsida; Brassicales; Brassicaceae. The record is from RNAcentral.